AACGAACGCUGGCGGCAGGCUUAACACAUGCAAGUCGAACGCUCGUAGCAAUACGGGAGUGGCGGACGGGUGAGUAACGCGUGGGAACGUGCCCUGAGGUACGGAAUAACUGCGGGAAACUGCAGCUAAUACCGUAUGAGCCCCGUGAGGGGGAAAGAUUUAUCGCCUUAGGAGCGGCCCGCGUCGGAUUAGCUAGUUGGUGGGGUAACGGCUUACCAAGGCUUCGAUCCGUAGCUGGUCUGAGAGGACGAUCAGCCACACUGGGACUGAGACACGGCCCAGACUCCUACGGGAGGCAGCAGUGGGGAAUCUUGCGCAAUGGGGGCAACCCUGACGCAGCCAUGCCGCGUGAAUGAUGAAGGCCUUAGGGUUGUAAAGUUCUUUUGCCCGUGACGAUGAUGACGGUAACGGGAGAAUAAGCUCCGGCUAACUUCGUGCCAGCAGCCGCGGUAAAAUCAACGUGUA
Molecule: ribosomal RNA, 465 nt
Filed under: uncultured bacterium
Lineage: Bacteria
Description: bacterial SSU rRNA
Rfam family: Bacterial small subunit ribosomal RNA
Source: RNAcentral